GACGAACCACCCGACCGUUAUUCGGAAUUACUGGGCUUAAAGGGUGCGUAGGCGGUCGGGUAAGUCUGAUGUGAAAUCUCACAGCUUAACUGUGAAACUGCAUUGGAUACUAUCCGGCUAGAGGAAUGGAGGGGAGAGUGGAAUUCCUGGUGUAGCGGUGAAAUGCGCAGAUAUCAGGAAGAACACCCGUGGCGAAGGCGGCUCUCUGGGACGGUACUGACGCUGAGACGCGAAAGCGUGGGGAGCGAACAGG
RNAcentral lists this ribosomal RNA (253 nucleotides) under uncultured bacterium. Its description in RNAcentral is "partial 16S ribosomal RNA". It matches the Rfam family "Bacterial small subunit ribosomal RNA", at positions 524 to 776 of the family's 1533-position model. The record is from RNAcentral.